Molecule: ribosomal RNA, 407 nt
Filed under: uncultured bacterium
Lineage: Bacteria
Description: partial 16S ribosomal RNA
Rfam family: Bacterial small subunit ribosomal RNA
Source: RNAcentral
AUUGAACGCUGGCGGCAGGCCUAACACAUGCAAGUCGAACGGAGCGGCGGACGGGUGCGUAAGGCUUAGGACUCUGCCUGGUAGUGGGGGAUAACGAUCGCAAACGGGAGCUAAUACCGCAUACUAUUAGAUUAGCCUAGGUCGGAUUAGCUAGUGGGUGGGGUAAAGGCCUACCAAGGCGACGAUCCGUAACUGGUACGAGAGGAUGAUCAGUCACACUGGAACUGAGACACGGUCCAGACUCCUACGGGAGGCAGCAGUGGGGAAUAUUGGACAAUGGGCGAAAGCCUGAUCCAGCCAUGCCGCGUGUGUGAAGAAGGUCUUCGGAUUGUAAAGCACUUUAAGUUGGGAGGCGUUACCAACAGAAUAAGCACCGGCUAACUUCGUGCCAGCAGCCGCGGUAAUUC